Long non-coding RNA from Felis catus (domestic cat), 202 nucleotides. RefSeq lists it as uncharacterized. The transcript has 2 exons. Lineage: Eukaryota; Metazoa; Chordata; Mammalia; Carnivora; Felidae. The record is from RefSeq and is a predicted model, not a curated record.
CCGCCAAUGAAUUCGUGAACCACUUUGCAAUCUACUUCAGUACAUAUGAAGGACAAUCGUACUUCAUCUGCAAACUCUACCGUGACCUGGAACAAAGACAAAGAACUGUCAGUCUCAGUAAAACUCCACAUAAGAACUUACCAAAUCUCUUAUAUAGCCUGGCUGUAGAUGGCAAUGCGAGGAAAGAAAAAGGAAGCAGAAA